This 1006-nucleotide ribosomal RNA is filed under the name uncultured Psychrobacter sp. Its description in RNAcentral is "bacterial SSU rRNA". It matches the Rfam family "Bacterial small subunit ribosomal RNA", at positions 39 to 1034 of the family's 1533-position model. The record is from RNAcentral. Lineage: Bacteria; Pseudomonadati; Pseudomonadota; Gammaproteobacteria; Moraxellales; Moraxellaceae.
GCAGAUCAGGCCUAACACAUGCAAGUCGAGCGGAAACGAUGGUAGCUUGCUACCAGGCGUCGAGCGGCGGACGGGUGAGUAAUACUUAGGAAUCUACCUAGUAGUGGGGGAAUAGCACGGGGAAACUCGUAUUAAUACCGCAUACGACCUACGGGAGAAAGGGGGCAGUUUACUGCUUCUCGCUAUUAGAUGAGCCUAAGUCGGAUUAGCUAGAUGGUGGGGUAAAGGCCUACCAUGGCGACGAUCUGUAGCUGGUCUGAGAGGAUGAUCAGCCACACCGGGACUGAGACACGGCCCGGACUCCUACGGGAGGCAGCAGUGGGGAAUAUUGGACAAUGGGGGAAACCCUGAUCCAGCCAUGCCGCGUGUGUGAAGAAGGCCUUUUGGUUGUAAAGCACUUUAAGCAGUGAAGAAGACUCUUCGGUUAAUACCCGGAGACGAUGACAUUAGCUGCAGGAUAAGCACCGGCUAACUCUGUGCCAGCAGCCGCGGUAAUACAGAGGGUGCAAGCGUUAAUCGGAAUUACUGGGCGUAAAGCGAGCGUAGGUGGCUUGAUAAGUCAGAUGUGAAAUCCCCGGGCUUAACCUGGGAACUGCAUCUGAAACUGUUAGGCUAGAGUAGGUGAGAGGGAAGUAGAAUUUCAGGUGUAGCGGUGAAAUGCGUAGAGAUCUGAAGGAAUACCGAUGGCGAAGGCAGCUUCCUGGCAUCAUACUGACACUGAGGCUCGAAAGCGUGGGUAGCAAACAGGAUUAGAUACCCUGGUAGUCCACGCCGUAAACGAUGUCUACUAGUCGUUGGGUCCCUUGAGGACUUAGUGACGCAGCUAACGCAAUAAGUAGACCGCCUGGGGAGUACGGCCGCAAGGUUAAAACUCAAAUGAAUUGACGGGGGCCCGCACAAGCGGUGGAGCAUGUGGUUUAAUUCGAUACAACGCGAAGAACCUUACCUGGUCUUGACAUAUCUAGAAUCCUGCAGAGAUGCGGGAGUGCCUUCGGGAAUUAGAAUA